Molecule: long non-coding RNA, 6840 nt
Organism: Felis catus (domestic cat)
Lineage: Eukaryota; Metazoa; Chordata; Mammalia; Carnivora; Felidae
Exons: 4
Source: RefSeq, a predicted model, not a curated record
UUAAUUAAAAUAAUGAAUAUAAUAAUACAUACUUUACAGAAAUUUAUAUUUUGUUACACAAAUCGAUAGCAAGCUCUAUCAAUCUAUCAAUCUAUCAAUCUUUAUCAGUAUCAACUGUAAAUUAAAUAGAUAUAUACAUAUAUAUGUGUGUAUUGGGGAUAUAUUUUUAUCCAUAUAAGGGUUGUUUAAUAUAUUAGCACAGUAUAAUAUUUAGCAUAUUUUAUUUAUCUACCAUAUAGUAUAAUAGGCCACUGUUAAUUUUAGUUAAACUGCCAAACACCAUUCUAUUUGCAUUCAUGUACGAAACUAAUAUGCUAUUGGGAAAUUAGUAUAAGCUUAUCAGGGCAAUUCAACUCUGUGAUUUCCUACAUGUUUAAUGGCAGUGAAGUGAAAAGAAUGAGAUGAAACAUGAAUAAAUAUACUUGUAGGUCCAAUCCCAUAGCUGACAGAAGCUUAUUAAAUCUGUAUUUAUUUUAAAUUUCAGGAAAACAUUAAAGACACUCUCUCACUCCUAGUCAUCCUGAAAUGCAGCAACCCUUAAAAUCAAAGUUUCAAAACACACCUGCAUUAUAGUCAGUGGUAAUCAGAGACACAAAACAUGCUUGUUAGUGUUUUUGUGCUCCGUGUAUAACCUUAGAGUGUAAAGAAGACAAUUAGUAAGUCAUUGCCAUAGAGGAAAGAACACUGAAUUAGAAAGAUGAACAUCACAAUCUUCAUUUCUUAUAAAUGUAUUGAUCUAAGUUUCAUUGUAUUUUAAAUGGGAUUAUUAAAACAUUUGCUGCUCAUGUAACAAGGUACUUUUUAGGUGACUUGAGCUUCAGCCUGUGAAAGCAAUUUAAAAAUACGUGAAGUUGAAGCAGAUUUAUCCCAAGACUAAGAUCAGUUAUUACAGUUCUACUUAAAAAUGCAGCAAUCUCCAUGGAGGAGUAUUUCAUAAACUAAUCUCUAAGAGACAUAGGACAAAUUUUAUCAAGGACAGUUAUAUUCUCUUAAAACUGGUAGUAGCUGACAUUUAAUGAACAUUAAUUUUCCAAGUGUUCUCUAUUUCUAACUUCAUGUUAUAUGCAAUAGCUUAUAUAUAUUACAUAACAUAUAUAUUCAGGAGGAAACAGUUUGACACUGACACUUGUGGGACCUGGUUCAAGAGAGCAAAACAUUUGAAAAAAUACAUAAGUUGAAAUGAAAUAGUUUGUUUAUGGAUGUCCCAUUGUCCACGUAAAAGGUGUUUAUAACCUUUUAUAAAUUCUAAAUGUCAACAUAGUCAUUUAUAAAUACAUGCUUUUAUAAAUACCCAAAUAUCAAGGUUUAGAAGAAAAAUCCAGAUAAAAGUUGUAUAUAUUGGAUCAGAAGCUGAUGGCAAAAGUCUAAUGUAGAUGACAUUUUUAUUUUGUGGCCAGCAAAGAGAUACAUAAAAUGACUACUCUUCCCAUCUCUGGAAUGUACAUAUUGAGAUAAUUAUUUUUUAUUAACUAUUAAUGAUUUCUAUCAGUUUAUCCUUGGAUUUCCACAGCCUCCUAUGAUGACUAUAAAUUUAUGUUCACAGAUCCUAUGUAACUCCACAUUUAUCUCAAAAGGUUAGGUAAGAUUGGAUAUCACCACUCACAUAACUACCAAAACAACAAAAUCAAACUAUGUCCACUUUGUGGUCUAAAGUUGUUUCUCGUUUAAAUUUGCAAGGGAUUGAAUAUUUUUAAAAAAAUGUCUGUUUGUUUGUUUGUUUCUUUAUAGAGUGAGUGGUGGGGGAGAGAGAGACAGAGAGAGAGAGAGAAUUAUCCCAAGCAGGCUCCAUACUCAGUUUGGAGCCCAACAUGGAGUUUGAUCUCAACUAUGAGAUUCUGACUUGAACCAAAAUGAAGAGCUGGACACUUAACCAAUUGAGCCACCCAGGUGACAUACGAAAAAAUCACUUCCUCUAGUGCCUUGCCAUCAGGAAUGUUACUAAGCCAAUUCUAAUCUCAGCUGUCCUGCCAUGGUGCCUGUCUUACUCUAAUUCUCUCAGGAACUCCAUGACUCACGCUUUUCCGGUGUUGGCUUAUUAAACUGAAGUACUCUCAGGUGAAGGAUAUUUUGUUAUAUGUUAAAUGCUCACGGACACCUUCAGGAUUUUUUAAGGCCAGUAAGACCAAGGAGUUCUUACUUUAUAGUAUAUCUAUCAAAGGUUACCUUAAGAUGUCAUGUCAAAAAAUUCUAAUAAUUCUCAUGACUGGGCAGGCAUGAGAUUGGCUACCCUACAUAAUGAGUAAAGUCCCCCCUACAUAAUGAGUAAAGUCCCCCCUACAUAAUGAGUAAAGUCCCCUUCUUCACAGGGAAGUCAGGGAAAUUCUCUGAAGAUAUUUAAAGAAGCAGCCAGCUUAUUAAAAUCACAUCUUCUGUAUUAGAGUCUGUUUUAGCAAGAGGCCUCUCGUAACUACUACUCCUUUCUCUACAAUGAUACGGUUCUUUUUAUUAACUUUCACAAUUAUUUUAACUUUUUAUGUUAUUAUACUUAUUCCUGUGCUUGCCUUAUUUACCUUUCAAGAGCGUCAUGUCUUUAGACAUAGUGUCUAGCACAGUAUUUUUCUUUUAAUAGGUUUGUUCCAAAGUCAAAAAUCUCGAAUUUAAAUUCUAGAAAUAGACUGAACUAAGAUUCUAGUGUGGCAGGUUGCAUUCCAGGUUUUUGUUUUUAGUUUGUACCAAAUGUAUGCAAAAUAAAAUAAUAGUUGUUUCACACUAAGGUCACAAAAUCAUUGGACCAAACUUUCGUUGAAGUGUGCCACUACUUUUACUCUAUACGAAGAAUUAUUUAUGAAUAUCUUGUAUUCCUGCCUUUUGUUGUUUACAACUACUGAGACUAGUGGAGCCAGAUAAUACAGGAAAGCAUUUAACAAAGAUGCUUCUUUGUAAAUUUUUUAGAUGUUCACCUUCCCAUGAUUUUCAAAGGCAGUAGCAGUUGUUGCCUCAGGGGAGACAAAUACAGCAUGGACCAAAAAAUGUCACACAUCAUUUUUGAAUUUCAAAUUAAACUUUUUACAGGUCGGUAGUGAAAAGUUAGUCUUAUGAGCUACCGUUUUAUGCAUAAGUCUGCCUUUUUGAAAAAUAAAAAUAUUUGCUGAGCUCAAAGUUGAAGCCGGGAGGACUACGAACGAUAGAGUGAACCUACAAGUGGUCAUACAGUCUGUCCUGGAUUUCGAGUGGCAGGUUUGGCACAAUUUAGUGAGACUACUGUAUAGUCAUGGCUAGGUGCUGAAAAGAUAUCUUUCUGUGCCUUGCCCUCUCCUGGGGUCAAAAUUCUUCUCAGGGGGUCAUUAAAACCCCUUAAAUUUGUUUGGGAUUUCCAGAGCAGUGGGACCUUUGCUGAAUUUGUGCCAAAGUCAGUGUGGAAGAAGUCUUGAUCUCUCUGUGAAAUGGCCACAGUAGCAUGGAAAUAACACCUGGGCAUUAGGCAGAGGGGGAUCUGAGAGACUCCCAUCUGCCUGGUUUUCCCAGGCUCAGUCAGCGUCUACUCCAUCCGCUAAAGUUUCCCUUUCCUUUCAGGAAUAAGGCAACCAUUGUGUCAGAAUUAUAAUUAUUAUAAUAUCAGUAUGAAAAUUUUGAUAUUGGGGGAAUACUUAUUUGACAAAUUCAUUUUCUGUAUCUUCUUUCUAAAAAUUCUAAUAAAUUAACCUUUAGUUUUAUGUAAAUGCCAAUCAAUGAAUGCCUAUGUCUAUUACAAGAUAUUUGGUUUGUUACAAUUAUAGCAUUAUUGUAAAUAAAUAUGAGCUAUGACCCUGGCAAACAUUCCACAAAAUCUAAGUGAUGACGUUUUUAAUUUUUUUUAUUAAAGUUUUUAAGAUGAAAACAAAAUGAAAAAGAGAGCCAAUUCACAAAGAAACACUUAAAAAUGUUUUUUUUAAGUGAAAGAACACGUGUAGAUAACGUGCAUUUGCACUGGUAAUGCUUUCUAAGAGGGCCGCAGGAGUAACAAUUACUAGAAGAACAUGCCGUUUUCAGUCAGAGCACCUGGGAAGAGGCACUGUUUCUCCAUGAAGACCAGAUUGGUGCAUAGCCCACACUUUCCUUACAGAAUAAUUCCUUGAACGGCCGUUUUUCUGGUUGUGCAAAUGUAAAGCAAGUAAACACUCAUUUCCGUAGAGAAUAGAAUUCUUGGAUUGCCAUGCUAAACACUAAACACUAAAUUAUGAUCACCUUUGGAACAUGGUCAAGGAGCCUCUUAGGAGGAAAGUAAUUGAGAUCAGGACCUCUUUCCCCCAAUAUUCUUGGGACAUCUGUAAUAGGAUGGGAAGCCUCUAAGUCAUGUCUUCUGGAAAGAAAAUUAUCCAAAUUCUUAACAGAAUUCACUUUGAGGGAAGUGCAGGCCUUUGUUGGUGGCUAUGUAAACUCGAUGGUCUGACUAUUUAUGUAGUGGGUUGUCACAGUGUAUAGCUGAAGUUGUAAGCCACUGGGCACAACCACUUUUGGUUGGCAUUAUAUUAUUCUUUAGAUACUAUGCCUUAGCAGGUGAGGGUGAACUGAAUGAGCUGUUACUUGGAACUCCAACCCAGUCUCAGAAUAUCUUCUUAAAGUACAAUCAUUAAGUAUCACUGGACUUAUGAGGCUAGUUUUCAUUAUUAGUGAGGAUAGGUUUAUAUGCAUCUCUGACUUUACUAUGAUACUCUAUAAUAUGUUGAUUUUUAAAAAGAACUUGUAAUCAGAUUUUUUAAAAACAUAGAAGUUGAUGUAAAAAUAUUGAUGAAUCAAAAUAAUUGCAUGAAUAAAUUUAAAAUUAUAAGUGAGUGUAUUUAAAAUUUAUUUAAAAAAUCUUAAUUGCUUUCAACACUAUAUCUAGUAGAAUGAUAGUGUCAUUAACUUCAAUGUCUCUUAUUUAUUUGCUUAAUUUUAAAUAAAUCAUAAGAAGACAUGAAAAUAAAUGCUGUUUCCCCCAUCUAAAUAAGUAUUACUUUUUCCAGUUGAAGAUUAAAUAUAAUUUUGGUUGAACAAUCAUUUAUAUCACCUUAAUUCUCUUAGUAAAAUCCCUUUGAGUUGUGUAUACAAUGCUUAGAGUGAUGGUACACUGGAAAAAAUACUAUAAAUGGCAAACAUUAUGUUACUUUAUGGAUACACAAUUUUUUAUUCCAUUUAUUCCAUCUGCAAAAAUGUAUUGAGCCCCUACUACAUGUCGGUGUAGUUCUAGGCCUUGUAUAUACAAGUGUGAAAAAAACAAAGUCUUUGACCUCAUAGAGCCUAAAUCUAAUUGGAAGAGAGGCAGCAAAAUAAUUAGAUAACAUCAGAUGGUGAUAAGUAUCUGAAAGAAAGAUAAGAGAGUGAGGGCAGGGAAUAUGGAAAUGAUUGCUAUUUUAUAUAAGCUGGUCAGGGAGGAGCUCUCUCAAAAAGUGACCCAUUUUCACAGGCACCUGAAGAAAGUGAGAAUGGCCCUGGGGCAGAAGUGUGUUUGAUGUAGUCCAGGUAUAGCAAGAAGGGCAAUGUGGAUAUUUUGGAAUAACACUGGGAUGUUAUUAUAGAAAGCGAGACCCAAGAGUUAGUCCAAGGUCAAAGCAUGGAUUCCCAUGUCCACAAAGGUUUUUACUUUGGCUUUUACUCCCUGAGAGGAGGGAGGCCAUUGGGAAGUUUUGGGCAGAGGAGGAACUUCUAGAUUUAACAAGUAAAAACCACAGGCUAUCCAGUUAAAUUUCAAAUUCAGAUAAACAAUGAAUACAUUUAAAAAAUAAAUAGGUCCCCAAUAUUAUAUGGGAUGUACUUAUGGUAAAACAUUAUUCAUUAUCUGAAAUUCAAAUGAACAAUGUAUCCUGUAUUUUAAAGAAAUUCUUUCACGGCUAUGAGGUAAAUAAACUUUUCUGGUAGGGCAGAAAUAGAAGUUGGUUGAAACUGUUUGAAUAGAUUCAAAUACAUUCACUUAUCAGUAACCUAAAUCUGCUCUAUAAAAAUAGUUUAUAGCUUGGUGGAAUAAGUACAUGGGAAGAUAGGUGACUUGUGUUCUUUCUGUAAUUACCUGCUUUGCUCAACUUCCUUUGGAAAUCAGUAAAGUAUCUCUAAAGUAGAUACAAUUUAUUUCAUUAGAAAAAUAAGAUAAUCUUCUAUAAAAAUAGAUAUUAAGUUUUAAAAAGUAGAAAAUAGACCAAAAAAGUUAGGAUUUAGAAGACUUGAACAAUUAUAAUGAAUCAUUUUGACCUAAUGGACAAAUUAGACUACUAUGCCUAAGAACUCUAGAUUAUAUAUUAUUUUUCAAACCUACAAAGUACAUUUGCAAACACUGUAAAUAUGGCAUACAAACAUACUAGUCCAAAAAAGCAAAUCACAAAAACCUUCAACAGUGAAAUCAAAGUAUAUUUUUUGAAUACAGUACAAAUUAUAUUAUAAAUCAGUGGCAAACUAUAAAUAAUAUAUCCUCCAUAUGUUUGGGUAUUACAAAGAACAUGAAUGUAUUAAGAAAAACAUUUUAGGGGCACCAGGGUGGCUCAGUUGGUUAAGUGUCCAACUUUUGAUUUCUGCUCGGGUCAUGAUCUAACAGAUAGAGCCAGUGUUGGGCUCUGCACUGGGCAUGGAGACUACUUAAGAUUCUCUUUCCCUCUCUCUCUGUCCUUCCUCCACUUUCUCUCUUUCUCCUUCUCAAAAAAUAAAAAAUAAAAAAAUGUUUUAAUGGAUAACAAAAUAAUGCAUACCAAAUCUUAUUUGAAAUAACUAAAGCAGCAUUUUGAGAAAUUUAUAAUUUUAAAUGUAUAACUUAGAAAUCAAGUAUUACUUCAAAAGGUUGCAAAACAGAUCCAAAAAGUAUACAGAAAAAAACUUUAAGAGAAAAAUAAACAGGGGCACCAGAGUGGUUCAUUCGGCUAAGCAUCUGACUCUUGAUUUUGGCUCAGGUCAUGA